Molecule: long non-coding RNA, 2171 nt
Organism: Hipposideros armiger (great roundleaf bat)
Lineage: Eukaryota; Metazoa; Chordata; Mammalia; Chiroptera; Hipposideridae
Exons: 3
Source: RefSeq, a predicted model, not a curated record
ACUUGCACCUCCAGAAGCCCCACCCAGGGACUUUUUCUUACAUCUCUUCUGCCCAAAAGACCCCCAAGCACCAUUGCUAGAAGGUCCCUGGGAGAGGAGGUUGAACAGGAUGUGGUCCAGCUCCCAUCGGCACCUGUCACACUUGCCCAGCGUCAUACUGCUAAUGAGUGAGUGUCAGCUCUUAAAUGAAGAGGACUGAACAACCCUACUAGCUUCUCCUCAAUACCAUCCCAGUAAACAUGGCAAGCAGGAUGCUUUGCAUGGACUGUCCAUCGUAUGGGGGAGAAGACAGAGUUCCGCCCACUCACACAACAGGAAGAGAGUGAGGAGGUGGGAGCCAAGAAUUCCUUCAUUUGACUUGGAAAAACUCCAGACAAAAUCAGCACUGCUUUGUCAUUCAUCAGCAGUGAUCAAGUCUGACUCAAGAUCAGAGUUCAAAAACAUUUUUUUUUUCCACACUCAGAUGCAAAGAUGCCCAAAACACAAAAUUGCUGGCCACAGCUGUGGGCCUUUAUAUUCGUGUAUGUAGAUGUAUUAUGAUGUCUGCUGUCCUUUGAGCGGAUUCAUGUUGCAAAUUAAAGACAUUCACGGAGACUGUAAUCUAGGCAAGCUACCCCAACAGGUGGGAAGCUGGAAGGUUAGCUCCUAGAAGGCAAAGGCCAGUGUCCACAGAGCAGGUCAGCGCAUUGGGUCAGCGCACUCGUGCCAGGCUCCGAGAAAGCACUGGCACCUCCUAGGAGCUCUGGGCACCUGCCCCUCCACUUUAUUGUGGGUCCAACUUAAACAACAACAGUAAGACAUCAUAAGGUUCCAUUCUACAAUUCAGUGAGUAUUUGUUGAGUACCUACGGUGUGCCAGGCACUUUCAUAGACACUGGAACACUAAGCCCACACCGUCAUGGGGCUGACAUUCUCAUAGGAGACGAGACAAUAAGCAAAUGAAUCAAUAAGAUGAUCUGGGAUGGUGACACUCUGAGGCGCAGAUGAAACAAACUCAUGGGGAGAGAGGGAAGGAGGACUCCAGAUGGAUUUCAGAUAGGGCUUCAGACAGGCCUGCUAUUGAAAUAGUCGCCAUUUGAACUACUGACACAAGAAGCGGCUGCGGAAGAUCCAGGGGAGAGACCACACAGAAGGCACCGUCAGGUCCCACCUGUGACACGAAAACGGCCAUAGCCUUGAAGCGGAGUGGAUGGGAAACAGGGAGAGUAGAAAGUGCUGGUGGAAGGGCAGGCAGGGCCAAAAUCACGUGGGGCCUUGGAGACCAUGGAAGGGACCCGGACUUCCACGUGGGUGGCAUGAGAAACCAGGAGGGAGCUUUAACCAGGGGUAGAAUGAUCUGAUUAAUGACCAUGGAGAGACUGCCUGCCAGUGCUCUUUGUCAGUGAAGAUUUGCAACCUGUUGCUCAUAUGACACAAGCACCUAAAAGGAACAGACCACACCCCAGCAUGGCUUUCGGAGGAGUAGACGUGUGUGAGUGCGUGUAGCGACCCCAACAGAAAUCUGCCCCCGAGAUGCUGCACUCGAUGCUCCUCAGCUGUGGUCACUGGUGCAAGUUUGGCUGCUGCGAGUAAAAGCUCCCCAGAUGCAGUGACUCAAGAUAAACGUUUAUUUCUCUGGAUGACCCAGAACUAAUAUGGCACCUCAGUGGUGUGAGAGACACAGCCACUCUCUCUGCCAACCCCAACAUGCAGCUUCCUUCUCAGUGGCUGUUGACAGUUGCCAUCCUAGCGUUGCCACCACAUCUACAUUUCAGCCAGAGGAAGGGGGGAUGGGCAAAGGUGAGAGAGAACACUCUUUCCUCUUAGACUCACCACCUGGAAGUCGCAUACAUCAUCUCCACUCAAUUCCCACUGACCAGAACCUAUGCGCAUGGCCACACCUAGUUGCAGGGGAAUCUGGGAAAAGCAUUUUUAACUGGGCAAUCUUGUGCUGAGGUAACACUGUUCGUAUUAUAAAAGGGUAUUGGAGGGAUAAUUCUGGUUUCGGCCGUAGCUGCCACCCAGGACAAAAGCAGCUGGAAUUGCCCCCAGCUCUUGGAGAACUGGCUUUAGAAGUCUGUUCCUAGAGGACCAAUUAAUAAAACAAAUAACAAUCAUAAAUAAUUAAUAAAAAUAACUAAGUAAUUGAGACAUCACCAUAUAUUGAUAAUUCUUCGUUGAACAAUCCUAGCU